GGUGGCCUGGGCGGGCAGCGCGGCCGCGUUGUGCGCGGCGCGGCAGGGGCGGUUCGACGACGUCGAGCCGUUG
This 73-nucleotide transfer RNA is filed under the name Mycobacterium avium. Its description in RNAcentral is "tRNA-Thr". The record is from RNAcentral. Lineage: Bacteria; Bacillati; Actinomycetota; Actinomycetes; Mycobacteriales; Mycobacteriaceae. RNAcentral also lists the same sequence under 2 other names.